RNAcentral lists this transfer RNA (66 nucleotides) under Nectoporus subrotundus. Its description in RNAcentral is "tRNA-Pro". The record is from RNAcentral. Lineage: Eukaryota; Metazoa; Arthropoda; Insecta; Coleoptera; Dytiscidae.
CAGGAGAUAGUUUAAUGAAAAUAUUAAUUUUGGAGAUUAAUGAUAGAGAGAAGUUUUUUCUUCUGA